RNAcentral lists this non-coding RNA (7239 nucleotides) under Pan troglodytes (chimpanzee). The record is from RNAcentral. Lineage: Eukaryota; Metazoa; Chordata; Mammalia; Primates; Hominidae.
CUCGGCGCCCGGGGCCGGCUGCGGGAAACGCUCGCACAGAGACAGGCGCGCACCCGGGGGCGCACCCGGGGCCACACACGACUCCCCAGGCGAUGGGGUCCAGGCGGCCCCGCCCGAAGGCUUCCGUCCCGCCAGCCCAUCCAGCCGCUGCCCCGCACCUGUCCCCGCCGCUCCGGACCCGCGGCCGCCCCCCGCGCACGCACACCGGGGACGGGACCCGGCGCCGCGACUCCCCACGCCCCGCAGGCGACGCCACCUUCGGCCGUAGCAGCCCGGGGUCCGAGGCAUCCCCCCUCGGAGCUGGCGCGGGACCCAGCGAACGGGCCCCGGGGCGGAGGGACGCUUCGGGACCCCGCAGCCGCCGUGGGUCGGGCACCGGGGUCUCCAGGAGGCUCGCGGAGGGGUCGCCACUCACCAGCUGAAAAGCGCAGAGGACGACGAGCGCGCAGCGGCCGGAGCAGGAGCCCAUGGUGCCCGCCUAUACAGGAGGCCCCCGGGUGCCCCGCGCUCGGCUCCCGCCCCCUCUCAGCCCGCUCCCCACGCGCCGCAGCCUCGACCCCGCCCCCUCUGCAUCCCGUUCCCCCCUCCCCGCAACCCCCGGCCCAGCCCCACCCCCGGGUAACAGCUGCGCUGCGUCUCCCCUCCCACCCCCGCCUGCGGCCCCUGGGGGCUUCGCGCCGGCCGGAGAGGGGGACCCUUCUUAAAGGGGCGAUGGCGCGGCUUCUCGGGUAGCGAGGGGCGGCGCCGCGGCCCCAGGACAGACCCGCAGCUGAGGGGAGCCCGCCCCGGACGCGGUAGGGAUGACCGGCGUCCGCCCCCUCCUGCAGAAUGACCUGCCCAGCACCGGCUCCCGCCGUGCGCCCUCCGGCGUGAGAUCCCCAUCAACCUUCCCCGUGGGGGGUCUGAGCGACCCGCAUCCGCGAGGCGUUUUCUCUGAGAGUCUCAGAGAUUCCUUGGCUUGGAGAAGUCCUGGACCCGGGUCCCCUCCACGGGCGGGCGGGCCGAGGACUCAGGAGGAGGGAGUGAGCCGGGCUCGCCCAUCUCCCACAGGGAGCUUCUCUGCUGGAAGGCUGAGACCUGAAGGCCAGGUCUGCUCCAACUGCCUGGACCGGCCUCCUGCCUGCGCGGGAGGGGCCUAGGGAGCCUCGGGUUGGGACAGCCUGAGGCCUUGUGCACGGUGGAGGCAGGACCCAGCUGUCCAGGGCAGGUCCUGGGGUCUGGAUGGGGCUGAACCCCGUAAAGCCUGCGCUUCCGGAAGAAGCUUGUGCUGGAGGCAGGGAAGGGUCCCAGCCAGGCCCGAGAGGAGCAGGACGUGGACACAGCGAGCCAGAGUGUCAGCCGGUCGGAAAGCCCAUGGGGGCAGAACAGCGGGAGAUCAGGGCAGGUGGCCGGGCCAGGGCUGCCACUUGGUCUUUACUCAGUGGCAGGGCAGGCUCCCUGACUGCCACCUACCGCCUGAGGAGCCUGAGAUGGGUUUCCCAUGGCAACCUGAAUUCCUGCCCCACUCGAGAUUUUAUGAAUUACUGAGGAUUCUUGCCUUCCUAAUUUUGGUUGUGUGUCCCACAGUCCCGGGGAUCAGGAGGGGUUAACAGAAGACCAAGGGUCAGGUUUUCUGCACUGCGGGGAGCCACCCCAGAUCUGUAGUCCAGGCUCAUGCGCGGGUGAGGGGGUAGCUUCCAAGCCCCAAAGGUCGGAGAGCAAAGGUGUGGCCAGUUGUGGAGGGAGGGGGAGCCUCAGGUUGUUUGCAGUGCUGGGGAGAUAAGAAUAUUCAGGAAUCAGAUGGUGGUGAUGGUUGCACAGCUCUGUGAAUAUACUGCAGCCCACUGAGCACUACACUGUAAAGGGGUGACUAUUAUGGUGUGAGGAUUAUAUCCCAAUUUUUAAAAGAUGUGAAAAAAUUAAUGUUUAUUUAUACGAUAUAUAAGACAUUGAUUUUUAAAUACAGCGGUACCAUCCCCGUCCCCCAUAACCCUGGUUCCUCCAGGCACUUGGAGCCAUUUGUGGAAGGACGUGGACUCCUAGAAGGUGAUUCGCAAAGGUGCCACGUAAGCAGAGGAGCCAGGUAAGCAGAGGCCCAGUGCCACGUAAGCAGAGGAAGGCCCGGAGCCGGCUGCUGAGGUCCUGAGGGAGAGGGAGGGGCACCUGCUCAGCCUUGCCUGUGUGUGUGGAUCCUUCUCUCUCAGGGGAAGCUGCCUGGACAUGCAUGCGCCUUGCAGUUCUGUCCUGCCAGGCUGCCUGCUCUUCCUCUUGAAAGCAAAAGCCUUCACUUGCUGAGGAUGCAACGAUGCCCUAGUGUCCCUUGCAGGAGCCAGUGUCAGAGCCAGGAGCUGUCGUGGGCAUCCCCUGCUCCAAAGUUACGAGUUCUGGUGAAGGGGUCAGGACAGCCCCUUUGAGAGUUCAGCAGAGCAGGUCUGCACCGGACCCACGCCACGCACAGCCCACACUCCACCUGCCCUGGUGCACACUGGCGGCAGCAGCCAGCCGCGGGGACCCCAGGCGCAGUGUUGCCGCGUGAACGUUAGAGCAGCCUCCAGAGGCGGGUUCGGUCUGCACACCUGGUUCGCGGGUGACGCGGUUGUGACUUGGCCCAGGUCAGUUGUUGGGGCCUGGCCAGCUGUGGGUGGUGAGGUUUUCUCGGACGCUUCAUCUGUUCUCGUUCUUGUUCGAAUUCCUUCUGCCUAAGAAUGACAGCUUUAAAAGCGAAAUGGCAGCACGUCUCCGUCAUUACACAGAAUCCCACGUGGGAAGACCCUAGUCGGAGGCCCCCACCCUUGCCCGGAGCUGGACUUUGGGGCAGCAGCAAACUGCAGUGAGUGUGAGUCACACCUGAGGACAGGUGGGCUGUCUUCAGGCUCCCAACAGGUCUGUCGCUUAAGGGGCUGGGGAAUGGGGGCUGGAAUGCCACGGCCUGCCCACCUGGGGGACUCUGGGCAGAGCUGGAGCAGCCAGGCAGGAAAAUAUCCCCCAGUUUCCAGAGAGUAAAAGCUGAUGGUCCUACUGAGGUGUGAAGGACAGUGACGGACAGUGAUGGAAGGUGAUGGACAGAGGAGGACAGUGAUGGACAGAGGAGGACAGUGAUGGACAGAGGAGGGCAGUGAUGGACAGUGACGGGCAGUGAUAGACAGCAACAGAGAGUGGAGGACAGUGAUGAACAGCAACAGACAGUGGAGGGCAGUGAUGGACAGUGGAGGACAUUGGAGGAUAGCAGAGGACAGUGAGGGACAGCAGAGGACAGUGAUGGACAGCGGAGGACAGUGAUGGACAGCAGAGGACAGUGAUGGACUGCGGAGGACAGCGAUGGACAGCGGAGGACGGCGAUGGACAGCGGAGGACGGCGAUGGAGAGCGGAGGACGGCGAUGGAGAGCGGAGGACGGCGAUGGAGAGCGGAGGACGGCGAUGGAGAGCGGAGGACGGCGAUGGACAGCGGAGGACGGUGAUGGACAGUGGAGGACGGUGAUGGACAGAGGAGGACGGUGAUGGACAGCGGAGGACGGUGAUGGACAGCGGAGGAUGGUGAAGGACAGAGAAGGACAGCAAUGGAAGGACAGGCACCCCAGUCAGCACAAACACAGGCCGAGUGGGGCCCAUGCAUUUCUGGGAGGACUGGCAAGCUGGGAAAGGCCUCCAGGGCAGGGAAACUCAGGAGAGUGACAGCUUGUUCAGGCCAGGACCUUGUGCAUCUUCUCCUUUUUUCUUUCUUAGUAAACCCAGUGUAUUCAUUUCUAGUGGCUGCCAUAACAAAUUCCCAUAAACUAGCGUCUUGAAGCCAUGGAAGUUUGUUAUGUCCCAGUUCUGGAGGCUAGACAUCUAACAUCCAGGUAUGGGCAGGGUUGCCCUGCCUUCGAAGCUCUGGGGAGGGUCCUUCCUGCCCCUCCCAGCUCCCGUGGCUCCCAGCGUCCUUAGCCUGUGGCCGUUAUUGCUCUGGUCUUUGCCUCCACCUUUGCAUGACCUCCUCCUCUCCUGUGUGUCACUUGCUAUGAUGCUUGUGAUGCCAUUUAGGGCCCACCUGUGUAAUCCAGCAUGCUCUCAUGUCAAGAUCCUUAAUCACAUCUGCAAAGAACCUUGCCCCAAACUCCUGGCUUCAAGCAAUUCUCCUGCCUUGGCCUCCCAACGUGCUGGGUUUGCAGGUGUGAGCCACUGUGCCAGGCCUAGAUUUGGGGGCCACCAUUCAGUCGCUGCUCUCCCACCCCUGCAGCAGCCCCAGCCCGCCCGCAGGGCAGACCUUCCUUGUGGCAGAAACAACAGGAAGAGGAAAGGAAGAGGAACCCAGGCCUGGGUUCCCUGCAGAGCUGUCCGCAGAGCCUGUGCGGGGCUGCAAAGGCCCCUCUGUUGUCACACCACCCCUGUCCCCGUUUCAGAUGAAACCGGGAGAACUUUCAACUGCAACAAACACUCCUGGAAAAGGAGAGGCCAAUCCCCAUGGCUCCACAGAGAGCACAGCCAGACCCCUUCAUCCAGGCCCACAGGCAAUGUUGUCGGCUCUGUUCUUCCUUUGAAAGAAAAGGGUGCUGGUUGGUUUCCAGUUUACUGCAGACACACAGAGAGGCCCCUCUCUGGCUCAGAGCCUGGCCCGGAUCUCUCCAGUCCCAGCUUCUCCCUCCCGAAAGGAACCUCCUGCCCAACAAUGCAACACGUGUGUGCACUCCCAGUGUGGGAAUCAGGCUGAGCUGGACUUCAGGGGCAGCCCAGGAUGCUUGCCUCGGGUGGGGCGUUUUCCCAGCGGUUUCUUGGGAGCUGCCUGGGAGUUGCCGAAGCUUCUUCCCAGCUGGCUUCAGCCCAGGCUUCCUGGGUGAGAUUCUUGUUCCCUGGCCCCUCACGGUACGCGUGGUCCUGUUCCCCGCAAUCCCCCACCCCCUUGAACUCCGUUCCCACACUCAGGACCCACCCAGAUGCCAGCUCCCCGCAGAGCAGUGCAGCCCCCCACUUCCAGCCCUGACAGCUCACACCCUGCCCCCCACCACCAUUUUGGAAUUGUUCUUUGCCAGAAAUACCGUUUCCCACCCUGUCUUCUUAUUCUCGGAGGCAGAGGCACUUCAGCUUCCUGGGCCGUCUGUCACUGAAUCACCCUGGUUUCCAUUGGCAGUGCCGCCUCUCCCUCACUCGGAUGCUUCUGUGCAGCCACGCAGGCUGUGUGUGCACAACCUCAGGGGACGCAUCAACCACAUCCUCGGGCUGGCCGUAGAGACAUGGCCUCGGCCUGAGUGUGGCCAUCAGACUCUCCCUGGUACUAUAAGCCCUUGGCUGAGGGGGCAGAGGGGCAGCUAGGAUCAUGGCUGCAGCUCCCGGAGGGGAGCCCCCAUCCUCCGGGCCGUCUUCCCGAGCCUGCUCCCCAGGCCGCGCCUUUCCUGACUUCCCUCCAGGCUCCUGUUGCUGGCGACCACAGAACCAGCCUCAGGGCUUUCCUGUCCUUCCUGUCAGGGGUCCUUUCCCAGUGGGAGCUCUGGGCGGGUGGGCCUGUCCCAGGAGAGUCAUGUAGCUUGUUUAAGGAGAAGAUCCCCGUGGCUCUUGUGUGCACAUGUGGGGCCUCUCUCCCCAGGGGCUGCUGUGAGCCUGGGAAGUCCCGGGUGGUGUCUCAUGCCCCAGAGAGCAGCCCCCUGUGCACCUUGCACACGCCCUCCUGCGGGUCUGCUGACUUUCUCCUCCGCCUCAGCCAAGUCUCCCACGCGGAGCAGGUGGGAACUGAAUGAAGGCCUCACAGGAUUCUGAGUCCCCGAUCUGACACCCACCUGGCUCAGCACCUGCCUCCUCAGCUUCCAGCUGCACGGGUGGCCACAGGCGUCAGGGUGUGACGGCAAAUGUGACGGUGAAUGUGGCCGGUCCGGUCAGAGGUCUCUGCAUCCUCCACACCUCUGGCCAGGUGAGACCCAGCCUGUGUCCCUCCCAGCUCUACUGACGGACGGCAGGAAGCUGAGACCCCGAGCCCGUGUGUCCUCGGUUCUUGGUGCUUUGCAAUGCCCCUGGCCCUGGCUGCAGCCGCCCCCUGGCUGGGCCCCGAGCCUGUCUGCCCUGCAACACUCACCCUUCAUGAAGAGGGAGCCUCAGCCGAGAGGAGAGCAAAUAAGUGUAAGGGGAGAGGGUGCUUCCUGAGACACGCGGUGGGCCCAGGGCUCCUGCCUUGGCCAUUCCGUCCAUCUGUGGGAGGGCCUUGGCCUCUCUGCUUUUGGAGCAGGGCGCUGGGGCUAGGGGAUUGCAGCCACAGCCACUCCACUGCACUGGUUGGGAGCUCGGAUCACCUCGGUGCAGAGGAAGCUUUGACGGCAAGGGUUGGUGUGGCUCAUCUGGCCCACCCCACAGCCAUCGCCGCCCCGCAGACACCUCCGGAUCCCGGCCUGCCAUCCCUCCUCCCGAGCCUACAUUAGGCUCCAUCCUUCCCCAGGCCCCAUGCCACCAGCAAGAACAGCCCAGCCAAUGCAGACUGCACCCCUCGGCCUCGGCCGGGACCGAGCACACUGCCCUGUGCUUGUCCAGUGUGCUCUCCCUGGCCCCUGAGGCAGGUGGCCUGACCCCUGUCUUCAGAGGGGAAAGCUGAGUCUCGGGAAGGCCACACAGCCGAGGAGUGGGGGCAGAAAGAACCCAGCUCUGCGCCAGGCUGUGUCAAGCCGACAUUUAGUGCCUAGCAGCAGCCACGGCCUCUGCAGGGCUUCCUGGAGCAGGUGUGGGCUCUUCCAGCACAGAGCAUGGGCUGCACCAGCUUCGGGGUGCACCGCGUACAGGUUAGGGCCGUGGCUGUGGCUGCUGGCUGACACCAGGAGUAAACGUGGACACCAGACCAGCGCAGCCUAGACCCAGCUGGGUGGCAGGUGCUGCCAGUGCCUCUCGAGGGGGCAGCAGGGUCAGCUGCAGAUGAGGCUGCCCCAGGACUGGCUGCCAGCCCUCAAAGAGCCCCCUGGGUCCCCCCGGCACAACUCUCUGCAUGAAGCCCCCAGCAGGAGAAGGGCUCACUGCCCUGAGCCCGACACAGUACGAGACGGAGGCCUCACUGAGUCCAGGCCCCGCACUGGCCCUCCCCUGGAUCCUGAGUCCAGGCCCCAAGCCAGCCCCUCCCCUGGAUCUCCCCAGACCCUCUCUGUGGGAGCCCAGGGGCUGGAGCCGCUCGACCACAUCUUGGUAGCUCUCAUUUGGGACCUCAUCUUUAAUCUCAGCAACUCAGGGAUCAAAGAGAAAAGGCCGAGGCAGGCGAGGCCGGGGUUUCUUGCUCAAGCAUUCGGAUCAUUGAACAAACGAAAAAAAUCAGAGAA